GGCCGUAUAGCAGGGGAGAAAAAAAAAACGAUGAGCAGGACUCAGGAGGCAGCAAAAACAAUUGAGCGCCGAGACAAAUGCAGAAGCGCAAGUCAGCAGGCGGCACAGCAUAAUAUUAUACAGUAAGCAGAGACACUGAAAGGGAGGAGCCACCCACCAGAGCGGUAGUAGUAGUAGUAUCAGACAGAGAAGACGAGGAACAGAUCUGUGCCAGGCGGAAGAAAGGCAUCGUCAAUCACUCGACCCAAAAGCUGCAGUUAAGGACUUAAAAACACGAGGAUAGCUGGUACGUGAUCAAUCAAUCAAUUUGCUCGCUCGUCCGUCUGGCUCUACUAGAGGUUGAUUGAGUCAUCAAGGUUAAGUUUUAUCGCUUGGUGUCAAUUUUUGUCACUAAGUUUACAUAAAUUACAUCCAUCGCUCUUUAGGAGGGCUUAUAAAAGUCGGGUCCGGAGAAAGGAACAAAGGAAGCAGGAAGGAAGAAGAAUGUCACCAUUGUUCCUCGGGGAGGCAAAAUUCACCACCAGCGCUAGAAGAGAGAAAAGCUAUCAAAGCUCCAAGCCAGCCAAGCUUGACGACGCUUCUCUCUGGACAUCCCCCGGCAUUUACAUGAAGGAUGGAGACUUGUAUCCAAUGUGAUACACCAAAGAUACUUAUAAUCUCUCUGAGGAGCUGGUUAACUUCUGGACUGCGCUUGAAAGGGGCUUUUGGACGUGGAACCGGUGAAAGCGAGCGCUCGCUCGCUCUACCUGUUGGCUAUCGGCUUACUAAUUCGCGAGAUGGCGACGAAGCAGCGGGAUUUAUACUUAGAGAGCUCCAAAGCCAGGGAGAAUUUUAUCAGGACGAAGAUUGUGAGUGAGCUAGAAACUUUGGACCACAGGCAAGAAACUCACAUUUGGUUUUUGAGGCCCACUGUUUUUUCCUUGCUUUUUUGUGGAUUGCAGCCUCACCACUGCCACUCUACAAGUGGAGAGUGAUUCCAUCUAUUCCAGUCCAUCAAUCUCCCCUACAAGCAUGUUUUUCCACAGAUUCAAAGAACCAACACAUUGAGAUGGUAUCUCUGCUUGUUGGACAGUGAGUAUUUGUGUACUCUGUACGUUGCAAAAGCCAACAUUGUGGUGUGUUCCUUGAGAAAAAAACAAAGCCAGAAAUUAGUUUUUUCUUA
This is a long non-coding RNA of Selaginella moellendorffii, 1162 nucleotides long. RefSeq lists it as uncharacterized. Lineage: Eukaryota; Viridiplantae; Streptophyta; Lycopodiopsida; Selaginellales; Selaginellaceae. The transcript is spliced from 5 exons. The record is from RefSeq and is a predicted model, not a curated record.